RNAcentral lists this ribosomal RNA (253 nucleotides) under uncultured bacterium. Its description in RNAcentral is "partial 16S ribosomal RNA". It matches the Rfam family "Bacterial small subunit ribosomal RNA", at positions 524 to 776 of the family's 1533-position model. The record is from RNAcentral.
UACGUAGGGUGCGAGCGUUAAUCGGAAUUACUGGGCGUAAAGCGUGCGCAGGCGGUUUGCCAAGUCAGGUGUGAAAUCCUCGGGCUUAACCUGGGAAUUGCGCUUGAAACUAGCGGGCUUGAGUGUGGCAGAGGGGGGUGGAAUUCCACGUGUAGCAGUGAAAUGCGUAGAUAUAGGAAGGAACACCAGUGGCGAAGGCGACCACCUGGACUGAUACUGACACUGAGGUGCGAAAGCGUGGGGAGCAAACAGG